RNAcentral lists this long non-coding RNA (3133 nucleotides) under Gallus gallus (chicken). Lineage: Eukaryota; Metazoa; Chordata; Aves; Galliformes; Phasianidae. The record is from RNAcentral.
AUUUUGUCAUACACAUUGCAAGAAUAUCCUGCUCGAGAUUCAUCAAACCAGAGAACAUGUCAUGACCUGCCCAAAGAAGUGCCUGAAGAGACAAGGGAAAACGUGGCAUCCCCCCCCACCUCUUUGUUUGUUGCCCCCGGUACUCUUUGUUUAACGAAGACUUUGAAGAAAAUCACCAAAUCACCGUAUCAGUACGACAAGAAGAGUACUGAGGACAUCUUGGAAACAACAGGAUGGGUACUGACUGACACCAGAUAACAAACAGAACACCUUGGAUAAGAUUGUGAACCUGGAGUACCCAGCCAAUAGGGUAACAGGGGAGGGGGAUAAGCAAGGGAGGAAACAAGGUACAAAAGCUGUCACAGAGACCUUAGGGGUGCUCCUGCUUGUGGGACGCCCGCCAUUGCAAUAGCGAAUAAAAUCUGCUUUUAUAAGAGAUACCGACCUGACAAAAUUAUUUGGAUAUUUCCAACAAUCGGGGGGCUCGUCUGGGAUUAUUAUCGCCUCCUUGGGGCUCCCCCUACUGCUCUGGACAGGAUAGGUGCAUCCCGCUGAUUUUUGCGGUCCUAUCUGGGUGGUGAGGUGACUCCUUGAAAUAGCCGAUAGGAAACCGAGACUGUUACGUAAAGGACGGGCUCUGUGAAAGCCAAGGGGCAGAAUUGGCAUAUGCCGGUUAAUGGAUGCAAGAAGUAAAACAGUUCCUCACAAGAAGGAGUCGAAGUUCAAAAGAAAAAGAAAGAAGCAGAAAGAUCGUAAAUGCGAUCCCGCAGAACUGCUGGUACUGCUCCAGCUACCCCAGCUCCCACGACUGGCACGAACACUUCCUGAUGAACUUCCACAAUCUGAGCUUGAAUCAGAGCAAAACUUCUCCAAACAAUUCUUUUUGGACCACUGAUAAAAGCUUUCUAAAGAAAUAAUAAAUAAAAUAAAAGUUACCUGAAAUAUGUAUUUACAGUAAUUCUCUACAUUUCCUGAUAGGAGAAAGUAGUAACUACUGAAAUUCUCAUCAAGAUGAACAUGCCAGCCCCUACCAUGAGAAGCUUACCGCCUAAAAGACACCUCCAGUGCAAUGAACACAAGUGAGGAUACAGCACAGUUAGUGGUACACACAGCUCUUAGAAAACAAGCAGGAAUGAUGGCCCUGGCACUGCGCUGACCAGCUCUGAGAAGGAAGUGGUGCCUGCUCCUCUUACCAGCCCUGUCGUCUUCGUGACAGGAUUUGAUGACAAGAGGAACAAGGAGGUCUCAGGAGAUGAGUACGGUUCUAUUCCCAAGAAAACAUUUUAUGCUUCUUCUCCAGUUUAAGACAGUUCAGACUGCAUACCUGUUUCUCCCUGUAUAGACAAGCUCCCAGGUUUUUGGUCUGCUUUACAAUUUUCCCCAUCACCCUGAGGACGCCAGGCUCUUAUUCCAAUAUUCUCUCUCAGGUCCAGUCUUUCAUAUUCAUUGCACAGAUACUUCAACUCACUCUGCUCGGAGACCCUAAUACAACCACAGCCAAAGAAACACAUAUAUAUAUAUCAUUAUUUUUUCCUUUUAAGGUCCCAACUUAACAUCCCAACUCAAAAGGCUGUCAAGACAGAAUGUGAGGUGAGGAAUAGGUUGAUGAGUAUUCUUCCUCAGUUUUACCUAAAAACUCUCUGUUAAUGCUUUCCCAAAAUGCAAUAUUCCAUCAGACAGACUGUUACUUCUUAAGGGGAGCAAGACAAUGCAUGCAAGUUCAAUUCCAUUCUCUAAUGAAGAAGGCAUUUAUAUGUUCUAGCAAGAAGCACAAUCUAGCAUUGUAUGGAGAUCUAGGUUGACUGGAAAAUGUGCCCUACUUCUAUUUCACUGACAUAAUUGUAACUAGAAUAAUCUGGUUAUGAAAUCUGAAGAAAUUUCAAGGUUUUCCUAAUCAAACUGAAAUAUAUGGAGCCAAUAUAGUAAUCAGAGUACUAAGGGAAAAGGAAUAAAACUCAGCUGUCAAGUUUCUACAAGAAGGAUACAGCCACAUCUUAGCUGUAGAAAUGAGAAAACUUUGAAUCAGUUUGUGGAAUAGACAUCAAAUUUCAGUACUUCCAUUGUGCCUUUUACAUACACUGACUUCCCACAAUGAUAUUAGUUUGUUUAUAAUAAGUAACAACAACUCCUUCAAAUUUACAAUUUCCUUAAGUCCACUGAUCUCAACAGGAUCAUUCACAUUAAAAAGUAAGUCCAUGAAGGCUCUGUACAAUUGUGACCUUAAUUCAAAGGACUGGUAAAGAACAAAAAUUUUCUCCUAGUAAGUAUUUCUGUUCUAGCAGUUAUUUAAAAUUUGUAUUUUGUUUUUAUUAACAAGCAACAUAGCAUAAACACUAGAAAUAUGAAAAAAAUAUUUAAUGGAGUAAUUCACAGUUGACCUCAGAAAUGUAUUUAAAUGAAUCUCAGGGGAAAAAACAAGUAACUUCCCAAGGUAAUCGCACUAUUUCAACCUAGAGCUGCUCUGUCCUAUUGUCAACACUUGUCACUGAAGCUUCACUGAUAUUACUUAUCAGCUCCUCUGAGGUAGAUAACUUUUUAAUCAUUAUGGCAAAAAUGCAAUUAUCUGUCUCUUUUCUUUCUUCUUCAAAACCAUCAGACAACAAUAUCACCCCUAAGUUACACUAUACAGCAGAUAAUUCUCCCAGUGGUGGAAUAAUUUGAAGAACUUUGUCUUCCUUUUUCACAGAAAAAAAAUAUGACUGGAUCUUACCCACACAAUACAAUAACGGAACGUUAACCAUCCAAAUCUCAGAGGCAGCAAAUCUCAUGGCAUAGCAGAGAGCAAGCACUGCUAUGCAGUAGACUGAGUCUAUUCAUAUGCAGGUUUACAAAUGGAUAAAUAUUUCUUUUGCUGGCAAUAUUUUGUACUGUGUAUUCUCAACAAUAAAGACCCAGGCCAGGACUACUGAGUGUUUGUUUAAAGAGAUAAAGCAAUCUGUCUAGCGUACUAUGCAAAACUCAACAAAACCCUGAGGAAAUAUUACUGCAAUUCUAGAUUUUUUCAUGACUUGGUGAGGCAACACAUACCUUGUAGAUAUGUUAACAUUCUUUUUCUUAUUUUUCCGAGAUGUUCUAUUUCUAUUCCAAUUCAUAUUUGGGACAUUUCCUUCCUUCUUCUCUUGAGGUUUCUUCU